RNAcentral lists this ribosomal RNA (479 nucleotides) under uncultured bacterium. Its description in RNAcentral is "partial 16S ribosomal RNA". It matches the Rfam family "Bacterial small subunit ribosomal RNA", at positions 28 to 507 of the family's 1533-position model. The record is from RNAcentral.
GAUGAACGCUAGCGGGAGGCCUAACACAUGCAAGCCGAGCGGUAGAGUCUCUUCGGAGUCUUGAGAGCGGCGCACGGGUGCGGAACACGUGUGCAACCUGCCUUUAUCUGGGGGAUAGCCUUUCGAAAGGAAGAUUAAUACCCCAUAAUAUACUGGAUGGCAUCAUCUGGUAUUGAAAACUCCGGUGGAUAGAGAUGGGCACGCGCAAGAUUAGAUAGUUGGUUAGGUAACGGCUCACCAAGUCAGCGAUCUUUAGGGGGCCUGAGAGGGUAGUGCCCCACACUGGGACAGGGACAAGGGGCAGACUCAUACGGGAGGGAGCAGUGAGGAAGAUUGGAAAAUGGGUGAGAGCCUGAUCCAGCGAACCCGGGUGAAGGAAGACGGCCCUAUGGGUUGUAAACUUCUUUUGUAUAGGGAUAAACGUAGGUACGGGUAUCUAGCUGACGGUAAUAUACGAAUAAGCACCGGCUAACUACGUG